RNAcentral lists this ribosomal RNA (687 nucleotides) under Rhodococcoides fascians. RNAcentral describes it as "bacterial SSU rRNA". It matches the Rfam family "Bacterial small subunit ribosomal RNA", at positions 18 to 722 of the family's 1533-position model. The record is from RNAcentral. Lineage: Bacteria; Bacillati; Actinomycetota; Actinomycetes; Mycobacteriales; Nocardiaceae.
UCUGGCUCAGGACGAACGCUGGCGGCGUGCUUAACACAUGCAAGUCGAGCGGUAAGGCCUUUCGGGGUACACGAGCGGCGAACGGGUGAGUAACACGUGGGUGAUCUGCCCUGCACUCUGGGAUAAGCUUGGGAAACUGGGUCUAAUACCGGAUAUGACCACAUCACGCAUGGUGUGUGGUGGAAAGAUUUAUCGGUGCAGGAUGGGCCCGCGGCCUAUCAGCUUGUUGGUGGGGUAAUGGCCUACCAAGGCGACGACGGGUAGCCGACCUGAGAGGGUGACCGGCCACACUGGGACUGAGACACGGCCCAGACUCCUACGGGAGGCAGCAGUGGGGAAUAUUGCACAAUGGGCGGAAGCCUGAUGCAGCGACGCCGCGUGAGGGAUGAAGGCCUUCGGGUUGUAAACCUCUUUCAGCAGGGACGAAGCGUGAGUGACGGUACCUGCAGAAGAAGCACCGGCUAACUACGUGCCAGCAGCCGCGGUAAUACGUAGGGUGCGAGCGUUGUCCGGAAUUACUGGGCGUAAAGAGUUCGUAGGCGGUUUGUCGCGUCGUUUGUGAAAACCCGGGGCUCAACUUCGGGCUUGCAGGCGAUACGGGCAGACUUGAGUGUUUCAGGGGAGACUGGAAUUCCUGGUGUAGCGGUGAAAUGCGCAGAUAUCAGGAGGAACACCGGUGGCGAAGGC